GGCGGACGGGUGAGUAACACGUGGGCAACCUACCUUGUAGACUGGGAUAACUUCGGGAAACCGGAGCUAAUACCAGAUAAUCCAUUUCACUUCAUGGUGAAAUGUUAAAAGGCGCCUUCGGGCGUCACUACGAGAUGGGCCCGCGGUGCAUUAGCUAGUUGGUAAGGUAACGGCUUACCAAGGCAACGAUGCAUAGCCGACCUGAGAGGGUGAUCGGCCACAUUGGGACUGAGACACGGCCCAAACUCCUACGGGAGGCAGCAGUAGGGAAUCUUCCACAAUGGACGAAAGUCUGAUGGAGCAACGCCGCGUGAGUGAUGAAGGUUUUCGGAUCGUAAAACUCUGUUGUAAGGGAAGAACAAGUACGUUAGGAAAUGAACGUACCUUGACGGUACCUUAUUAGAAAGCCACGGCUAACUACGUGCCAGCAGCCGCGGUAAUACGUAGGUGGCAAGCGUUGUCCGGAUUUAUUGGGCGUAAAGCGCGCGCAGGUGGUUUCUUAAGUCUGAUGUGAAAGCCCACGGCUCAACCGUGGAGGGUCAUUGGAAACUGGGAGACUUGAGUGCAGAAGAGGAAAGUGGAAUUCCAAGUGUAGCGGUGAAAUGCGUAGAGAUUUGGAGGAACACCAGUGGCGAAGGCGACU
RNAcentral lists this ribosomal RNA (643 nucleotides) under uncultured bacterium. Its description in RNAcentral is "bacterial SSU rRNA". It matches the Rfam family "Bacterial small subunit ribosomal RNA", at positions 97 to 726 of the family's 1533-position model. The record is from RNAcentral.